This 207-nucleotide ribosomal RNA is filed under the name uncultured delta proteobacterium. RNAcentral's name for it is "partial 16S ribosomal RNA". It matches the Rfam family "Bacterial small subunit ribosomal RNA", at positions 568 to 774 of the family's 1533-position model. Lineage: Bacteria; Deltaproteobacteria. The record is from RNAcentral.
CGCGUAGGCGGUCUUGUAAGUCGGAUGUGAACGCCCGGGGCUCAACCCCGGAAGUGCAUUUGAUACUGCGAGACUUGAGUAUGGGAGGGGGAAGUGGAAUUCCUGGUGUAGAGGUGAAAUUCGUAGAUAUCAGGAGGAACACCAGUGGCGAAGGCGACUUCCUGGACCAAUACUGACGCUGAUGCGCGAAGGCGUGGGGAGCAAACA